UUUCUAUAAUAUCAACAAACAAAAAAAAGUUACAUUAUAUCAUCUUAGUUCAUGCCAACUUCCAAUCAUGUAUGUUUAACAUUUUCUUACAAAAAAUGAACACAGAGGUAUCCAUAUAUAUUUAACUCAACUAAUUAUAGGCAUAGUAAUGAGGUAUCCAUUGACAUAGUGGUACCAAUUCUGUGUGUUUCUCCUAGUGCUACCUCAUUUUUCAUCAAUAAAUAUAUACCAUUAGAUUACAAAACUAUGAGCAUUGUAUUCACCAUUCUCCAUUGUCACAACAAUUACAAAAUGCUACAAAGAAAACAAGAAAAUCAAGAAAAUAUUGAUUUUAGAGUACUUAUCUGGUAUUCAAGAACAAUUUCAAGUAAAGACUAAAAAAGAGUGAACCAACCUUCACUUAAUCAAGAAGAGUUACCACAUAAAUCUUCUAAAAUCCAAACAUUUGACAACUUUGCAAAAUAGGUAGUUGCCUUGGCCUUUGAGAACCUAUAAAACCA
RNAcentral lists this long non-coding RNA (500 nucleotides) under Trifolium pratense (red clover). Its description in RNAcentral is "long non-coding RNA (TPRA_LNC011252)". The record is from RNAcentral. Lineage: Eukaryota; Viridiplantae; Streptophyta; Magnoliopsida; Fabales; Fabaceae.